CGCCCUCGUGGUUGUUCCAGUCCCACGUGUUGUGCAGAGAAAGCACGUGCGCCAGAAAGGAGAAUGCUUCGCACGUGCCCAACUUUUGGGUCACGUUUUUAUGCUAUAAUGGGAGGUGGGAUUCGUUUCCCCCUUACUACAGAAGUCUUUUCAUUCCAAUGGGAAAUUGUAUGAACAGUAGAUGUAACUGGAUGAUUAAUCGACUUGUGUAGCUGGAAACCAUCAUUGUCUUUGGAAACAUGUAUCAUGAGUCUGUGGCCCAGCAGAUGCCCGACUGGUUCCAGGACUCGUUUUUCCCUCUUAAGGACAUAAAAAUGACAUUCCAGCCUAUUGGGAGACCAUGUACGCAAUGCAAGGUUCGAGAAUUGGAAACCAAACUCUGAGGAAUCUUGAAUGGACUCGUUGAUGCCCCUUACAAGCAGAUGCACGUGGUCUGUCCUGGAUUGCAGUGUACAGAUGUUCUCCUUCCCCCUCAUUGUUUUUAAUGGUGGGACUGGUCUUCUAUGACAUGGUUGUACAUUUCAAUGAGUUACUGUUUUCUAUUAAAGCUUUUUGAAUUCUUA
Tachysurus vachellii is the source of this 563-nucleotide long non-coding RNA. RefSeq lists it as uncharacterized. The transcript has 7 exons. Lineage: Eukaryota; Metazoa; Chordata; Actinopteri; Siluriformes; Bagridae. The record is from RefSeq and is a predicted model, not a curated record.